Chelonia mydas (Green sea turtle) is the source of this 4016-nucleotide long non-coding RNA. RefSeq lists it as uncharacterized. The transcript is spliced from 2 exons. NCBI's taxonomy places the organism in Eukaryota, Metazoa, Chordata, Testudines, Cheloniidae. The record is from RefSeq and is a predicted model, not a curated record.
AAGGGGAGGGAUAUCCUGAACACCUAGAGCACUGUAGCCUUGGCCUGCACGUUCCCUGGCUGCCCCUCGCAGGGACCCUGACUGGCAGCUGGCCUUCAGUCUCUGACAUUUGGAAAUGCUAACAUUCACACUGAAUAUUGUUGAAUAUCCAAGAAGAUUUUUUGUGAGGCGGGGGGGGAGGGGGAAGCAAACCUGUGCAACAGAGGAAGGAGCCUACUGGCUUAGAGAGACUGCAGCUCAGCUAAUAUUUGGGCUUAUUUCUUACCCAAACACACACAUUUCAACCCUCCCACUACAACUAGCCCUUCUACACGGUACUGCUUCCUGCGCCCAUGCAAUCUGUGUAUCACAAAUGGUGCUAACGCUUAAUACAAUAAAGGUUUGAAAUCCUAGAACAUAUGGCGUCUUCCUUUUAUUCCACAGCGUACACAUUCAUCUCCUUCACGCCCCCCCAGUUGAAUACAUCAUUUUGCUUUCUAUUGAUCUAGAAUUAUGUUUCCCUGCUUGGGAGUUUUAAAUCUUUCAUUCAACUAGGCUGAAACAUCUAAAUCUUAUUCCGCUGCAAAGGGGCAUUUAAUUGUUUACAAAAGGUGUUUUGUUGUUACAUCAGAUCCUCCCUAACUAUCAGUUUCUAGCUCUGCACCUGUAUGCCUAGCAAUUGCAUGGGGAUGGCAGUAAGAAAGAAUCCAUAAUAUCCUCUGGCUGUUAUAUUCAUCAGGGGUCAGGAUGAAUACCAGCUCCAUGACUGAAAUGCAUUCUGUCAGUGCGUAGAUUUGUUGGCCACAGGGAAAAGCUUGCCAACCUGUUUGAGAUUUUUGGAAGGAAAAAUUAGUCAAGCUUCAGUGCACGCAGAUAGGCGCUGGCUGAACCGUUGAAUUCUGACGGAUGCAGGAAAACGCCAAGAUACACAAAGAGGGCUCGUUUCUUUUCUUUUGAAAGUGCAUAGCAGCACAAAUCAUGAAGUAAGACCAAUGGGAAACUCUGCAAACUUGUCAAGUCAGUUGGAAUAGCCCCAGACACAUUCUGACUCGCUGCUCGCAUCCGAAAGGCAAGGCUGCAAUGCCGUGCUAGCUUAAUAAAAUCCACAAUGGUUCAUACUCAAAAUACUAAAUCAUUAAAUUUUACAUAGUCCAUUGUAUUGUGAAACCUGGAUGGUUUCCAGGUGCAAGUGAUUUGAAAGUAAAAAUGGGUCUGUUCAAUAAAAUGAAAUGACUUGAAGAAGUCUGAGUUUAUUGCUCUAUAAGUCUUAAUUGGCUUUGCAAGUAUCAGAGGUGACCUUGGCCUUCUCAGCUUAGCUAUUAUGGCUGUGUGCUGGGUUAUUACAAGAUAAUGACAGUGCUGUGUUAAUCAUAGUGCUUUCAGCAGUGCAGAAAAAAAGGGACUCAGAAGAAAUCAGCACUAGCCGUGGAGAGGAGGAGACAUUCACUAGAAUAGCUGUCUCUGCUUCUGAAAGGAAAUGGAGAAAUGCUCCAGUGAGAUGCAAAGAUCAAAACCUUCCAUGGGGGCCGGACACCCCAGGCCCCCAUGCGAGCCCCACACGGUCAUUAUUAAGAAUGCACUUACUGCUGCCCUUUCUGCUUUGGAUGUCUCCCUUUGUCAGGUGGGCCUGGCAACAUCACUUGGGAUAUUCACAUUUUCUCUCCUCCACAAAGCCUUUCUGUCUCACAGUGGGGAUGCAGUAAGGCCUGGCAGGCUGGUCCCUCUGCUGCAGCUUCCCAUUCCCUUGGCUCUUUACACUCUCAGCCCCACUUUUCCUAUUUAGUUUCUGGCAUAUACCCCAAAUAACCUUUUCUAAGCCACCAGUUUGCAUCCUUUGCCCCCUGCGCCUCUCCCAUCUCCUGCUUCUCUGUCACUGCAUCCCUCGCACUUAGCAGCUGAGUACUGAGCCAGACUCUCAUAUUAUAUCUCAAACAGUCUGCUCCGGACUCGACAAGCUGGCGGGAGGCUCAUUCUCUUCCGCCAUCCUGCUCCGUUAGAGCCUCCAUCUCUUAGCCAUCCCACCCACUCUUGCUGCAUGUUGUUAAUGCUCUCAGGAUUAUGAACUGGGGAACCUUUUGGGAAAGGAGGAGCCUGUACAGGACGGAUGGGCUCCACCUACACCAAAACAGAACCAGAUCGCUGGCAUAUAAAAUUCAAAAGGUCUUGGAGGAGUUUUUAAACUAAGGGCUGCGGAAAGCCUCCUUGGCCCUUAUGAUGAUCUCUACAGAGGGGACGGACUGGAGGAUGUCCAUCCCAACCCAUGGCCAAAGAGCCAGUGUGUGAUGAUCACCAUUCUGGCCAAGAUGAGGCAAUAAAUGAUCCAGGGACCUCCAGAGGGCAGGCAUGAGCCUCUACAGAGUUACCAUCCUAUUUGGACAGCUGAAGAUGCUGAUAGGUGUCCAAUGGACUUUCCAAAAGCACGUAAGCAGCUUAAGUAUCUAACUCCCAUUGAGUCCCACAGAUGUAAUCCCAUCCAAACUGCGCACUCACCUUGUCCGGUAAACAUUUCUGCAUGGACGCAACAGGCCUCUUCUAUGUAGCUCUGCUUCCCCUGCACUAUUGAACCAGAUUCUGCCCUCAUUUACACUGGUGUAAAUCCAGAGUAACUCCAGUCACAUGACUUCCAUUGAGGUACUUUGACCGUGGGAGGAAAGAGGUCUUUGACAGCCACCUCCCUUCCUCCUCACCUCCCUGACAACCCACAACCUUCCCUACAUAGUGUUAUCUUCUUGGAAGCGAAGGCAAAUGGCCUGCUAGCCUGCCUUGGUGUCUUUGGCAGAUGGCAGGCCCAGUUCCCUGCCUAGUGCCUUUGGGAAUUUAUCUCCUCCUAACAGGACUGACAAAACAAGUUAAAAAAAAACCAAAAACCCUUUGCUGGCCCGCCUGAAUGGAAUGUGCGGAAGCAUUGUGCUAUUCCAACCAUGUCACGUGGCACAAUACAAAUGACUUUCACUGGCUUUAAGGCAACACUAGCAUUGCUAUGAAAUUUGCUAAGCUCUGGGAGCACAGAACCACAGAGAAAGGAAUGAAGAUUUUUUUUUUUUUGCUUGAACUUUCAUGUCUUCAUCGCUAGGUAUAAAUCUCCAGUGGGAACACUGGUAACUAAAAGCAGCCCAUGGUGAUUUGGGUCAAUGCCAGAACAUUAUCUUGUGAUAACUAGUGUCACUUCCCUAUCGUGCAUUUAUUGCUUUAUCAGGGUAAACAUUAUAGGCCGCCUCAAGUGCCUGUAUGUUUUUCACUUCCUAUUAACCUGUGGAGUGGACGGCAGAGGCCUCUGUUUGUCUUUUAACUGCAGGCCUGUGACGUGUACGUCUCUGAAGUAUGAGAGAAUCAUUUCUCAGGUUCAUCUCAUCACAGGCUGUAACUGUCCAUGAGCAAAGAGGGAUGCUGGGAGCAAAACCCAGGCACCGGUGACAUUUAUCUCAAUUUAGCCUGGCCAGGAAAAGUAGUGAAGGAUGGCAUGCUGAAAGCAAAGCGUACUGCUUGAAUGAAUUUACAACGAGUAAUAAAAUACAGCAGGGGAGAGAAUUUACUGCAGUGGGAUGCGAUAAGGUAUGUGGACAAUCAAAGGGGGUACUUCAUUCCUAUGGACCUCAAAUCAGAAUUCAACAGAUAUAUUUUAUACUAACACACUUUAGACAUUUUUCAGAGUAACAGCCGUGUUAGUCUGUAUUCGCAAAAAGAAAAGGAGGACUUGUGGCACCUUAGAGACUAACCAAUUUAUUUAGACAUUUAUUAGACAUUUACUUUAGACAUUGUUUAAAGAAAAACACCUGUGUACUAAUUGUAUCUUACUUGUUAACCUGAAACCAUGGGCGGAGACAUUAUGUAACCUUUGACUAUUGGCUACUGUGCUUAUUUUGUCUUGCUGCUGGACCUAUCCAGGGGUUUGGGACUGCCUACCCUGUCAUUUCCCUCCGCCCAUGGAAAAUCCAUAUAAUCCACUGGGAUCAAUCGUUUGGCAGUGUCUCUGAGCCUAAUAAACAAGGUGACACUUUGCCAGCACUGUGCAUAAUAAACCCACCUGCUUGAUUCUA